RNAcentral lists this transfer RNA (88 nucleotides) under Oceanospirillaceae bacterium. RNAcentral describes it as "tRNA-Ser". It matches the Rfam family "tRNA". Rfam says of the family: Transfer RNA (tRNA) molecules are approximately 80 nucleotides in length. Their secondary structure includes four short double-helical elements and three loops (D, anti-codon, and T loops). The record is from RNAcentral. Lineage: Bacteria; Pseudomonadati; Pseudomonadota; Gammaproteobacteria; Oceanospirillales; Oceanospirillaceae. RNAcentral also lists the same sequence under 2 other names.
GGUGAGGUGUCCGAGUGGCCGAAGGAGCACGCCUGGAAAGUGUGUGUACCGCAAGGUACCGAGGGUUCGAAUCCCUCCCUCACCGCCA